UCUGAGUAACUAUGUUCUGCAGGAGGGUCAUUUUGUAGUCAUUCUGUUGAUCUUCUUAUGUUAGCUCUAAAUAUAAUUGCUCGGUUUGUAAUCAUUCUUUCACAUAUAAUUACAAUGAAUAUAAUGAUUCCUACAAUAGAAAUUGUAGACCCAAUUCUUGAUACUACGUUUCAUGAUGUAUAUGCGUCUGGGUAGUCAGAGUAUCGUCGAGGUAUUCCUGCUAAUCCUAGGAAGUGUUGAGGAAAGAAUGUUAAAUUUACUCCAAUGAAUAUAAUUGUAAAUUGGAUUUUUAAUCAUGUAUUAUUUAUAGUUAAUCCUGUAAAUAGUGGAUAUCAUUGAAUGACACCUCCUAUAAUUGCAAAUACUGCUCCUAUAGAUAAUACAUAAUGAAAGUGGGCUACUACAUAAUAUGUAUCAUGUAAUACAAUAUCAAGUGAUGAAUUUGCUAAUACUAAUCCUGUUAAUCCACCAAUUGUAAAUAGGAAAAUAAAUCCUAGAGCUCAUAAUAAUGGUGGAUUGAACUUGAAUUUAGUUCCAUAUAAUGUAGCUAAUCAUCUAAAUACCUUAAUUCCUGUAGGUACAGCAAUAAUUAUUGUUGCUGAUGUAAAAUAUGCUCGUGUGUCAACAUCCAUUCCUACUGUAAAUAUAUGAUGUGCUCAUACAAUAAAUCCUAUUAGUCCAAUUGAUAGUAUAGCAUAAAUUAUACCUAAUGUUCCAAAUGAUUCAAUUUUUCCUCUUUCUUGACAUACAAUAUGUGAAAUAAUUCCGAACCCCGGUAGAAUUAAAAUAUAAACUUCUGGGUGUCCAAAGAAUCAAAAUAGAUGUUGAUAUAGAAUUGGGUCACCCCCUCCUGCAGGGUCAAAGAAUGAUGUAUUUAAAUUUCGAUCUGUUAAUAAUAUAGUAAUAGCUCCUGCUAAAACUGGAAGUGAAAGAAGGAGAAGUAAUGCUGUAAUAGCUACAGAUCAUACAAAUAA
Long non-coding RNA from Schistocerca gregaria, 974 nucleotides. RefSeq lists it as uncharacterized. NCBI's taxonomy places the organism in Eukaryota, Metazoa, Arthropoda, Insecta, Orthoptera, Acrididae. The record is from RefSeq and is a predicted model, not a curated record. The transcript is spliced from 2 exons.